CCUGUGUUCUCAUCUUCUCUUGAUGCCUCACACUGGGAUCCCCUGGAUGGAAGAGCCUGUCCUACUGGAGAUAAUGCCUGGACUUCUCAAAGACCGCUGUGCAUUCCUAUGAACCUGCCUGCAGCUCUCUCCCUGUCAUUUGGGUCAUUCGCAGCAGUGUACAGACAUGCUCAAGAGUUCCCAUCUUUCAAAAGCUUUCUCUUUCCCCUUCCAUUAUCAAAAUGGAAGUCAAUUCAUGUGAGUUAAUGUAAAGCUCUCAAAUGCUUUCCUAUUUCCCUUAGAAUAAAAAUAACCUCUCACCAUGGGCGAUAGGCCCUCAGAGUAUCUGGCCCCUGCUAGGCUUUUCAUGACCCCAUCCUACCCUACCCCACUUCUUCACAGACUGCAACACAUUGUGAGACCCCUGUGCUCAAGUGUUGCGGGGCUUGCUUUGGGAGACAGAAGUAGUAGCAAUGUGGCUGGUAGAAAAGGAUGGCAAUCCUGGUGCAAGUGGGGGUUCUUGGUGGAGGCAGGAGUAAGGAGACACAGCAGCAGUGUGUGGCAAUGUCACAGCUGCUUAGCUAGGAACUCAAGACACCCGUGAGAGAAUUACUUAGGAUACUGGGAGGGCUCUGCAGGGGCCUGGGGUUCUGCAUCAAAAGGAGAAGGAGAGAGUCCGGGAAAUGUUGUUACUGACUCCAUUUUUACCCACAGACCAGGGAAACAUGGAUAUAUGGGUUCCAUUCCGAAAUUCCUUCAGGAAUAAGAUUCAUUCCUGGUCCAUCACUCAAAAGCCAAUUAAGACAAGGAAUCUUCCUUUUCUUUCUAUUUCUGUUUCUCACACACACAUACCCAUAAAAUUGUAUUUUAACUUUAAAGAACAUGUGCAUUCAUUUGUUAUUCUUUUAACAUAAGACAACUCUUUGUUUUUUUAG
Molecule: long non-coding RNA, 914 nt
Filed under: Homo sapiens (human)
Lineage: Eukaryota; Metazoa; Chordata; Mammalia; Primates; Hominidae
Description: non-protein coding lnc-MAPK8-1:1
Source: RNAcentral